UAGGGAAUCUUCCACAAUGGGCGCAAGCCUGAUGGAGCAACACCGCGUGAGUGAAGAAGGGUUUCGGCUCGUAAAGCUCUGUUGUUAAAGAAGAACACGUAUGAGAGUAACUGUUCAUACGUUGACGGUAUUUAACCAGAAAGUCACGGCUAACUACGUGCCAGCAGCCGCGGUAAUACGUAGGUGGCAAGCGUUAUCCGGAUUUAUUGGGCGUAAAGAGAGUGCAGGCGGUUUUCUAAGUCUGAUGUGAAAGCCUANCNUNUUAACCGGAGAAGUGCAUCGGAAACUGGAUAACUUGAGUGCAGAAGAGGGUAGUGGAACUCCAUGUGUAGCGGUGGAAUGCGUAGAUAUAUGGAAGAACACCAGUGGCGAAGGCGGCUACCUGGUCUGCAACUGACGCUGAGACUCGAAAGCAUGGGUAGCGAACAGGAUUAGAUACCCUGGUAGUCCAUGCCGUAAACGAUGAGUGCUAGGUGUUGGAGGGUUUCCGCCCUUCAGUGCCGGAGCUAACGCAUUAAGCACUCCGCCUGGGGAGUACGACCGCAAGGUUG
RNAcentral lists this ribosomal RNA (551 nucleotides) under uncultured bacterium. RNAcentral describes it as "bacterial SSU rRNA". It matches the Rfam family "Bacterial small subunit ribosomal RNA", at positions 355 to 896 of the family's 1533-position model. The record is from RNAcentral.